Long non-coding RNA from Hemiscyllium ocellatum (epaulette shark), 395 nucleotides. RefSeq lists it as uncharacterized. The transcript is spliced from 3 exons. The record is from RefSeq and is a predicted model, not a curated record. NCBI's taxonomy places the organism in Eukaryota, Metazoa, Chordata, Chondrichthyes, Orectolobiformes, Hemiscylliidae.
AAACUAAGCCAGGCAGAUGGACUGAAUGAAAGAAGGAAACAAAGUAGUGGAGAAAGGUUGGCAGAGGGAACACAGGCAGUCAACCUAAUCUCUGCAUAUACAACAAAUCUGGUAAGAGACAAAAAAAACUGCAGAUGCUGGAAUCCAAGGAAGACAGUCAGGAGGCUGGAAGAACACAGCAAGCCAGGCAACAUUAGGAGGUGGAGGUACAACCCUUCUUCAGGAGUGAAGGGAAAAGUGCAAAAUGCGUCUGCAGGGAUGGCGUGAUGUUCUUGAGGAGUUGUCAGCCCUUCAUGAUCUUUGUUGUCCACAAGAGAUCACAGUCCAGUCUGUUUUGACAUGCAACUUGCCCCUUUGUUGUUUGAAGUUUCUUUUGCAUCUUCAAGUGGGGCAUU